RNAcentral lists this transfer RNA (76 nucleotides) under Actinomycetota bacterium. RNAcentral's name for it is "Actinobacteria bacterium (marine sediment metagenome) tRNA-Ala". It matches the Rfam family "tRNA". From Rfam's summary of the family: Transfer RNA (tRNA) molecules are approximately 80 nucleotides in length. Their secondary structure includes four short double-helical elements and three loops (D, anti-codon, and T loops). RNAcentral also lists the same sequence under 1 other name. The record is from RNAcentral. Lineage: Bacteria; Bacillati; Actinomycetota.
GGGGGUGUAGCUCAGUUGGGAGAGCGCCUGCCUUGCACGCAGGAGGCCAGCGGUUCGAGCCCGCUCAUCUCCACCA